Molecule: ribosomal RNA, 278 nt
Filed under: uncultured bacterium
Lineage: Bacteria
Description: partial 16S ribosomal RNA
Rfam family: Bacterial small subunit ribosomal RNA
Source: RNAcentral
AACGAACGCUGGCGGCACGCCUAACACAUGCAAGUCGAGCGCUACCUUCGGGUGGAGCGGCGGACGGGUUAGUAACGCGUGGGAACAUACCCUUCUCUAAGGAAUAGCCACUGGAAACGGUGAGUAAUACCUUAUAAGCCCCUCGGGGGAAAGAUUUAUCGGUGAAGGAUUGGCCCGCGUAAGAUUAGAUAGUUGGUGGGGUAACGGCCUACCAAGUCGACGAUCUUUAGCUGGUUUGAGAGGAUGGUCAGCAACACUGGGACUGAGGCACGGCCCAG